CAAAGAGUUGGACACAACUGAGCAACUGAACAUGCAAACACACACCACUUAGAAGAAGAAGGGGAACUGUCCCAAACCACCUGACCUAGCCAGGCACCAUAGUAACCACCUGCACGAGUCAUCCUGCAACAGGAGCUUCUGGUAAAGAACUUGAAACAAAGAGGCUGCCCCCAGCCAGACGAAUUCAGAACAGGUCCAAAGGACAGAGGAGAUGCCAGUUCAUAUGUCCGGCCAAGCUCCCAGAAUCCUUCUCGCUAGGAUCCAUCCUGAGUGAUGCUUGUUCCCCUCGGAAGAGCCCUGAGUCAGAAUGACCGGCACCUAACCUCCUCACCACAAAACCUGAGACUGAGCCACGUGGAGCGCAGUCCUUCCGGGUCCCCUCGCCCUCUUGCUCUCUGCCUGCGCAUGCCUUUUCCGAUAAAUGCUCUUGCUUUGUCAGCACGAGGGUCUCUCUGAACAAUUCAUUUCCGAGUGUUAGGCAAGAGCCAAUCCUCAGGCCCUGGAAGGGGUCCCCCUUUCCGCACCAUACCCAUUCGAAUUUUGUAAAUUUACUAAAAUAAAUCCAUAAAAGUGAGCACUUUAAUCAUUUUUAAGUGCACAGUUCAGUGAUAUUAAGUACAUUUAUUCACAUUGUUGUGCAAUCAUCAUUCUUCGCCCAUUCUUAAUUGUCUUUUUAAAUUUAUCUUUCAGUGUUUAAUUUUUAUAUCCUGGAAACAAGUCUCUUAAUGGAAAAUGAUUUGAGAAUAUUUCCUCUCAUCCUGUAGGUUGUUCUUUCACUGUCUUGAGGGUGUUUUAAUAAAAUUCUUUAAUAAAUUCCCUUCAUGCUCUAA
This is a long non-coding RNA of Bubalus bubalis (water buffalo), 830 nucleotides long. RefSeq lists it as uncharacterized. The record is from RefSeq and is a predicted model, not a curated record. The transcript is spliced from 2 exons. NCBI's taxonomy places the organism in Eukaryota, Metazoa, Chordata, Mammalia, Artiodactyla, Bovidae.